GAAAUGCGAUAAGUAAUGUGAAUUGCAGAAUUCAGUGAAUCAUCGAAUCUUUGAACGCACCUUGCGCUCCUUGGUAUUCCUUGGAGCAUGCCUGUUUGAGUAUCAUGAAAUCUUCAAAGUAAAUCUUUUGUUAACUCAAUUGGUUUCUACUUUGGUAUUGGAGGUCUUUGCAGCUUCACACCUGCUCCUCUUUGUUCAUUAGCUGGAUCUCAGUGUUAUGCUUGGUUCCACUCGGCGUGAUAAGUAUCUAUCGCUGAGGACACUGUAAAAGGUGGCCAAGGUAAAUGCAGAUGAACCGCUUCUAAUAGUCCAUUGACUUGGACAAUACUUUUAUGAUCUGAUCUGAAAUCAGGUAGGACUACCCGCUGAACUUAAGC
This 377-nucleotide unclassified non-coding RNA is filed under the name plant metagenome. RNAcentral describes it as "partial contains 5.8S ribosomal RNA, internal transcribed spacer 2, and large subunit ribosomal RNA". The stretch from base 1 to 105 matches the Rfam family "5.8S ribosomal RNA", at positions 50 to 154 of the family's 154-position model. The record is from RNAcentral.